AAGAUGGCAGUUGGAGCCGUGGCCUCACGCUGAAUCAAAUCAGUGACAUUAAAAACACUCAGUGAUGGUCAGACACAGCCAGGUCAACAACAGAGGUCACACCAGAGGCCUCAGUGAGAACAACUGGUGCAUCUGUGCCCAACCAAGUUUCUCUUAAAACAAACAGUCCAGUUUAGCAUCUAAAAUCAAAUUAUUUAGAAUAAAAUAUCUGUUUAAAGGAGA
Poecilia latipinna (sailfin molly) is the source of this 222-nucleotide long non-coding RNA. RefSeq lists it as uncharacterized. The transcript has 2 exons. NCBI's taxonomy places the organism in Eukaryota, Metazoa, Chordata, Actinopteri, Cyprinodontiformes, Poeciliidae. The record is from RefSeq and is a predicted model, not a curated record.